UUUGACGGAGAGUUUGAUCCUGGCUCAGGACGAACGCUGGCGGCGUGCUUAACACAUGCAAGUCGAACGCUGAAGCUUGGUGCUUGCACUGGGUGGAUGAGU
The sequence is a ribosomal RNA, 102 nucleotides long. It matches the Rfam family "Bacterial small subunit ribosomal RNA", at positions 1 to 96 of the family's 1533-position model.